Long non-coding RNA from Aethina tumida (small hive beetle), 428 nucleotides. RefSeq lists it as uncharacterized. NCBI's taxonomy places the organism in Eukaryota, Metazoa, Arthropoda, Insecta, Coleoptera, Nitidulidae. The record is from RefSeq and is a predicted model, not a curated record. The transcript is spliced from 3 exons.
GAUAAUGGCCGAAGUUAUGGAAAAAAGAGUCGAUUGAGCAGGUAGAAAAAAGUCGGGUAGCGGCCUUUUUUAUUCAGCCGACGAGGUACGUGCGGAAGUUAGUUUUGAUCGCAUCAGUGCAGUUCGUGUCAGAGACUUUUGCAUCCCAAGAGUGCAGAUAAAAUGGUGUUCAUUUAAAGUCUUUUGGAUCACUGCUUUGUCCAUCUUCACAAUUUUUGUGCUUAGAAAGUAUCGACAUUCUUCACACGUACGUUGAAUUUAAAAUAGAAAUGAAUAAUAAAUGUAUUUUUCCCAUAUAUACAAUGUUAUAUACAACCUCAAACAAAAAGUUACGGCGCCUGAAGUAUUAUACCAAAAUUGUAAACUGAAGAAUAUUUCAAAUUUGUUAUACAACUAAAUAAUUAUACCAAUAAACUUUAUAAUAUUAA